CUCUCAGAGAAACCACCAGGAGGAAGCUGCCUGUGAGGGAGAUGAGCUGUCAGCAACACUGCACUCAGAGGACUGCCCUUGCAGAGAGCUGCAAGCAGACAAACCAGAACUCCAGAGCCCCUGGUCUCCUGGCUCAUUUGAAUUUGUCCUCUAGUCUGUUACAUAUUUUUUUCACACGUAUAAUCGUUUGUUUGCAGUCUGGAAAUAUAAAACCAGUCAAGAAACAGAGGCCAGAGUAUUGAUUCCACAUAUAAUUGAUAUCAUAUCCAAGGAAAACCCUAAUUGGAAAAGAUACAUGCACCCCAAUGUUCAUUACAGCACUGUUUAUGAUAACCAAAACAUGAAAGCAACCUAAAUGUCCAUCAACAGAGGAAUGGAUAAAGAAGAUGUGGCACAUAUAUGAAAUACAUAAAUGAAAUACUACUCAGCCAUAAAAAAUAAUGAAAUAAUGCCAUUUGCUACAACAUGGUUGGACCUAGAGAUGAUCAUAGUGAGUGAAGUCUGGACAAAGCUCCCAGGUGACAAUGAUGGGCCUUGUUGGUGUGCAGUGCUGGUGGAACAAAUCUGUGUUCCACCUGUGCAUCUUACUCUCUAUCAAUCAGCACAUCAUCC
Molecule: long non-coding RNA, 612 nt
Filed under: Sus scrofa (pig)
Lineage: Eukaryota; Metazoa; Chordata; Mammalia; Artiodactyla; Suidae
Description: lncRNA (ENSSSCG00035034581.1)
Source: RNAcentral